Molecule: unclassified non-coding RNA, 508 nt
Filed under: Hevea brasiliensis (rubber tree)
Lineage: Eukaryota; Viridiplantae; Streptophyta; Magnoliopsida; Malpighiales; Euphorbiaceae
Source: RNAcentral
AGAGGAACAACAAGGAGAAGAAAUCAUGAGUAAUGAGCCUUUAUUCCCCCUGUUGGAACAGCUGAACCUUUACAAUCUGCCAAAGCUGGGGCACUUCUUUCUAGCGAAGCGUGGUCUUGAAUUUCCAUUUCUCAGGGAUGUGUGCAUUCAUAACUGCUCUGAAAUGAAGGCGUUUGUCCAACAGGGAAUAUAUGUGAGUACACCGAGUCUCGAAAGUGUAAACAAUGAUGAUGAGGUGAAAGUGGUUGAUCUCAAUAAAGCGAUGUUCAAUUCUAAGGUUUCGUGUCCCAGACUGGAAAAGCUACAACUCUUUUGUGCUCAUAGUAUAACUGCUCUAUGCUCUCAUCAACUUCCAACAGGCUACUUUAGCAAACUUGAAGCGUUGCAUGUAUCGUUUUGUGGAAAUUUGAGAAACUUGAUGUCUUCAUCAGUGGCCAGGGGUGUUUUGAAUCUCCAAAUUCUACAUAUAGGAUAUUGCGAGUUGAUGGAAGAAGUGAUCACAAAAGAG